Molecule: ribosomal RNA, 429 nt
Filed under: Acidobacteriota bacterium
Lineage: Bacteria; Pseudomonadati; Acidobacteriota
Description: Acidobacteria bacterium partial 16S ribosomal RNA
Rfam family: Bacterial small subunit ribosomal RNA
Source: RNAcentral
UGGGGAAUUUUGGACAAUGGGGGAAACCCUGAUCCAGCCAUCCCGCGUGUGCGAUGAAGGCCUUCGGGUUGUAAAGCACUUUUGGCAGGAAAGAAACGUCAUGGGUUAAUACCCCGUGAAACUGACGGUACAUGCAGAAUAAGCACCGGCUAACUACGUGCCAGCAGCCGCGGUAAUACGUAGGGUGCAAGCGUUAAUCGGAAUUACUGGGCGUAAAGCGUGCGCAGGCGGUUCGGAAAGAAAGAUGUGAAAUCCCAGAGCUCAACUUUGGAACUGCAUUUUUAACUACCGGGCUAGGGUGUGUCAGAGGGAGGUGGAAUUCCGCGUGUAGCAGUGAAAUGCGUAGAUAUGCGGAGGAACACCGAUGGCGAAGGCAGCCUCCUGGGAUAACACUGACGCUCAUGCACGAAAGCGUGGGGAGCAAACAGG